CAGCAGCCGCGGUAAUACGUAGGUGGCAAGCGUUGUCCGGAAUUGUUGGGCGUAAAGGGCUCGCAGGCGGUUUCUUAAGUCUGAUGUGAAAGCCCCCGGCUCAACCGGGGAGGGUCAUUGGAAACUGGGAAACUUGAGUGCAGAAGAGGAGAGUGGAAUUCCACGUGUAGCGGUGAAAUGCGUAGAGAUGUGGAGGAACACCAGUGGCGAAGGCGACUCUCUGGUCUGUAACUGACGCUGAGGAGCGAAAGCGUGGGGAGCGAACAGGAUUAGAUACCCCGGUAGUCCCUGUCUCUUAUAA
This 301-nucleotide ribosomal RNA is filed under the name uncultured bacterium. RNAcentral's name for it is "partial 16S ribosomal RNA". It matches the Rfam family "Bacterial small subunit ribosomal RNA", at positions 509 to 809 of the family's 1533-position model. The record is from RNAcentral.